Molecule: transfer RNA, 74 nt
Filed under: Christensenellaceae bacterium
Lineage: Bacteria; Bacillati; Bacillota; Clostridia; Christensenellales; Christensenellaceae
Description: tRNA-Gly
Rfam family: tRNA
About the family: Transfer RNA (tRNA) molecules are approximately 80 nucleotides in length. Their secondary structure includes four short double-helical elements and three loops (D, anti-codon, and T loops).
Source: RNAcentral
GCGGGUGUAAUUCAAUGGUAGAAUAUUAGCCUUCCAAGCUAGAUGCAUGGGUUCGAUUCCCAUUACCCGCUCCA